UGCAAUUGGCGACUUUCUUGU
This 21-nucleotide non-coding RNA is filed under the name Caenorhabditis elegans. The record is from RNAcentral. Lineage: Eukaryota; Metazoa; Nematoda; Chromadorea; Rhabditida; Rhabditidae.